UGGGGAAUUUUGGACAAUGGGCGAAAGCCUGAUCCAGCAAUGCCGCGUGUGUGAAGAAGGCCUUCGGGUUGUAAAGCACUUUUGUCCGGAAAGAAAUCCUUGGCUCUAAUACAGUCGGGGGAUGACGGUACCGGAAGAAUAAGCACCGGCUAACUACGUGCCAGCAGCCGCGGUAAUACGUAGGGUGCAAGCGUUAAUCGGAAUUACUGGGCGUAAAGCGUGCGCAGGCGGUUUGCUAAGACCGAUGUGAAAUCCCCGGGCUCAACCUGGGAACUGCAUUGGUGACUGGCAGGCUAGAGUAUGGCAGAGGGGGGUAGAAUUCCACGUGUAGCAGUGAAAUGCGUAGAGAUGUGGAGGAAUACCGAUGGCGAAGGCAGCCCCCUGGGCCAAUACUGACGCUCAUGCACGAAAGCGUGGGGAGCAAAACAGGAUUAGUACCCUGGUAGUCCACGCCCUAAACCGAUGUCAACUAGUUGUUGGGGAUUCAUUUCCUUAGUAACGUAGCUAACGCGU
Molecule: ribosomal RNA, 513 nt
Filed under: uncultured bacterium
Lineage: Bacteria
Description: partial 16S ribosomal RNA
Rfam family: Bacterial small subunit ribosomal RNA
Source: RNAcentral